GGUAGAAUGGCUGAGUGUUUAGCGGUGGCUUGUAGUCCCAUAUACAGAGGUUAGAUUCCUCUUUCUGCCA
Molecule: transfer RNA, 70 nt
Filed under: Sphoeroides pachygaster (blunthead puffer)
Lineage: Eukaryota; Metazoa; Chordata; Actinopteri; Tetraodontiformes; Tetraodontidae
Description: tRNA-Tyr
Rfam family: tRNA
About the family: Transfer RNA (tRNA) molecules are approximately 80 nucleotides in length. Their secondary structure includes four short double-helical elements and three loops (D, anti-codon, and T loops).
Source: RNAcentral